Molecule: ribosomal RNA, 465 nt
Filed under: uncultured bacterium
Lineage: Bacteria
Description: partial 16S ribosomal RNA
Rfam family: Bacterial small subunit ribosomal RNA
Source: RNAcentral
AUGAACGCUGGCGGCGUGCUUCACCCAUGCCAGUCGCACGAUGAAGCCCAGCUUGCUGGGUGGAUUAGUGGCGAACGGGUGAGUAACACGUGAGUAACCUGCCCUUAACUCUGGGAUAAGCCUGGGAAACUGGGUCUAAUACCGGAUAGGAGCGUCCACCGCAUGGUGGGUGUUGGAAAGAUUUAUCGGUUUUGGAUGGACUCGCGGCCUAUCAGCUUGUUGGUGAGGUAAUGGCUCACCAAGGCGACGACGGGUAGCCGGCCUGAGAGGGUGACCGGCCACACUGGGACUGAGACACGGCCCAGACUCCUACGGGAGGCAGCAGUGGGGAAUAUUGCACAAUGGGCGAAAGCCUGAUGCAGCGACGCCGCGUGAGGGAUGACGGCCUUCGGGUUGUAAACCUCUUUCAGUAGGGAAGAAGCGAAAGUGACGGUACCUGCAGAAGAAGCACCGGCUAACUACGUG